GCCCCGAUAGCUCAGUGGUAGAGCUCCUGUAUGUGGUGAGCGAAAGCCCCCAGCAAUAACUGUCAGGAGGUCUCAGGUUCGAACCCUGCCCGGUGGUU
RNAcentral lists this transfer RNA (98 nucleotides) under Meloidogyne enterolobii. RNAcentral describes it as "tRNA-Pseudo". It matches the Rfam family "tRNA". Rfam says of the family: Transfer RNA (tRNA) molecules are approximately 80 nucleotides in length. Their secondary structure includes four short double-helical elements and three loops (D, anti-codon, and T loops). Further hydrogen bonds mediate the characteristic L-shaped molecular structure. tRNAs have two regions of fundamental functional importance: the anti-codon, which is responsible for specific mRNA codon recognition, and the 3' end, to which the tRNAs corresponding amino acid is attached (by aminoacyl-tRNA synthetases). tRNAs cope with the degeneracy of the genetic code in two manners: having more than one tRNA (with a specific anti-codon) for a particular amino acid; and 'wobble' base-pairing, i.e. permitting non-standard base-pairing at the 3rd anti-codon position. Lineage: Eukaryota; Metazoa; Nematoda; Chromadorea; Rhabditida; Meloidogynidae. The record is from RNAcentral.